Molecule: ribosomal RNA, 351 nt
Filed under: Rhacophorus reinwardtii (Reinwardt's flying frog)
Lineage: Eukaryota; Metazoa; Chordata; Amphibia; Anura; Rhacophoridae
Description: partial 12S ribosomal RNA
Rfam family: Bacterial small subunit ribosomal RNA
Source: RNAcentral
ACACCAACCAACGCCAGGGUAUUACGAGCCUCAGCUUAAAACCCAAAGGACUUGACGGUGUCCCACCCAACUAGAGGAGCCUGUUCUGUAAUCGAUAAUCCACGAUAUACCUAACCAUUUCUUGCUGAUCAGUCUGUAUACCUCCGUCGUAAGCUUACCGUGUGAACGUAUAAUAGUAGGCCCAAGGGCUUAACGCCAUAACGUCAGGUCAAGGUGCAACUUAUGAAAUGGAAGCUAUGGGCUACAAUUUCUAACCUAGAACAAACGAAAUACUACAUGAAACAUAGUCAUGAAGGCGGAUUUAGUAGUAAGUAGGAAGUAGAGAGUCCUACUAAACUUGGCCCUGGGACG